AGAGUUUGAUCCUGGCUCAGAUUGAACGCUGGCGGUAUGCUUAACACAUGCAAGUCGAACGGAAACGAUACUAGCUUGCUAGUAGGCGUCGAGUGGCGGACGGGUGAGUAACGCGUAGGAAUCUGCCUGAUAGUGGGGGAUAGCCCGAAGAAAUUCGGAUUAAUACCGCAUAAUCUAUUCGUAGUAAAGUGGGGGACUUUCGAGCCUCACGCUAUCAGAUGAGCCUGCGUAAGAUUAGCUAGUUGGUAGGGUAAAAGCCUACCAAGGCUACGAUCUUUAGCUGGUCUGAGAGGAUGAUCAGCCACAUCGGGACUGAGACACGGCCCGAACUCCUACGGGAGGCAGCAGUGGGGAAUAUUGGACAAUGGGGGCAACCCUGAUCCAGCAAUACCGCGUGUGUGAAGAAGGCCUGAGGGUUGUAAAGCACUUUCAAUUGUGAAGAAAAGUUAACGGUUAAUAACCGUUAGCCUUGACGUUAACUUUAGAAGAAGCACCGGCUAACUCCGUGCCAGCAGCCGCGGUAAUACGGAGGGUGCAAGCGUUAAUCGGAAUUACUGGGCGUAAAGCGUGCGUAGGCGGUUUAUUAAGUCAGAUGUGAAAGCCCCGGGCUUAACCUGGGAACUGCAUUUGAAACUGGUCAACUAGAGUAUGGUAGAGGAAAGUGGAAUUUCUGGUGUAGCGGUGAAAUGCGUAGAUAUCAGAAGGAACAUCAAUGGCGAAGGCAGCUUUCUGGACCAAUACUGACGCUGAGGUACGAAAGCGUGGGUAGCAAACAGGAUUAGAUACCCUGGUAGUCCACGCCGUAAACGAUGAUAACUAGCCGUUGGGGGGAUUUACCCUUUAGUGGCGAAGCUAACGCGUUAAGUUAUCCGCCUGGGGAGUACGGCCGCAAGGCUAAAACUCAAAGGAAUUGACGGGGACCCGCACAAGCGGUGGAGCAUGUGGUUUAAUUCGAUGCAACGCGAAGAACCUUACCUGGUCUUGACAUCCUGCGAACUUUCUAGAAAUAGAUUGGUGCCUUCGGGAACGCAGUGACAGGUGCUGCAUGGCUGUCGUCAGCUCGUGUCGUGAGAUGUUGGGUUAAGUCCCGUAACGAGCGCAACCCCUAUCCUUAUUUGCCAGCACGUCAUGGUGGGAACUAUAAGGAGACUGCCGGUGAUAAACCGGAGGAAGGCGGGGACGACGUCAAGUCAUCAUGGCCCUUACGACCAGGGCUACACACGUGCUACAAUGGGAAGGACAAAGAGCCGCGAAGCCGCGAGGUGUAGCUAAUCUCAGAAACCUUUUCGUAGUCCGGAUUGGAGUCUGCAACUCGACUCCAUGAAGUCGGAAUCGCUAGUAAUCGUAGAUCAGAAUGCUACGGUGAAUACGUUCCCGGGUCUUGUACACACCGCCCGUCAUACCAUGGGAGUGGGUUGCACCAGAAGUGGCUAGUCUAACUUAGUGAGGACGGUCACCACGGUGUGAUUCAUGACUGGGGUAAAGUCGUAACAAGGUAGCCCUACCGGAAGGUGG
This 1515-nucleotide ribosomal RNA is filed under the name uncultured bacterium SAT52-D2. RNAcentral's name for it is "bacterial SSU rRNA". It matches the Rfam family "Bacterial small subunit ribosomal RNA". The record is from RNAcentral.